Molecule: ribosomal RNA, 413 nt
Filed under: uncultured bacterium
Lineage: Bacteria
Description: bacterial SSU rRNA
Rfam family: Bacterial small subunit ribosomal RNA
Source: RNAcentral
UGGGGAAUAUUGCACAAUGGGGAAACCCUGAUGCAGCGACGCCGCGUGAAGGAAGAAGUAUCUCGGUAUGUAAACUUCUAUCAGCAGGGAAGAUAGUGACGGUACCUGACUAAGAAGCACCGGCUAAAUACGUGCCAGCAGCCGCGGUAAUACGUAUGGUGCAAGCGUUAUCCGGAUUUACUGGGUGUAAAGGGAGCGUAGACGGCUGAGCAAGUCAGAAGUGAAAGCCCGGGGCUCAACCCCGGGACUGCUUUUGAAACUGUCCGGCUCGAGUGCAGGAGAGGUAAGCGGAAUUCCUAGUGUAGCGGUGAAAUGCGUAGAUAUUAGGAGGAACACCAGUGGCGAAGGCGGCCUGCUGGGCUUUUACUGACGCUGAGGCUCGAAAGCAUGGGUAGCAAACAGGAUUAGAUACC